GGGGGUGUGGCAGAGUGGCCUAUCGCGCCGGCUUUGAACACCGGAGUGCGGCUAAUACCCGCACCGUGGGUUCGACUCCCACCGCCCCCGCCA
RNAcentral lists this transfer RNA (93 nucleotides) under compost metagenome. RNAcentral describes it as "tRNA-Ser". It matches the Rfam family "tRNA". Rfam says of the family: Transfer RNA (tRNA) molecules are approximately 80 nucleotides in length. The record is from RNAcentral.